Molecule: non-coding RNA, 83 nt
Organism: Omnitrophica WOR_2 bacterium
Lineage: Bacteria; Pseudomonadati; Candidatus Omnitrophota
Source: Rfam
GGGCAGGUGUUGGAAUGGCAGACAAUGGAGACUUAAAAUCUCCCGUUCGCAAGAGCGUGAGGGUUCGACUCCCUCCCUGCCCA